GCCUCCCUCCGCCGCCAUCAGACUCCUACGGGCGGCGAGCAGGUGGGGAAGUUUUGGCGUCAAGUCGGGGGAAACCCGUGGACGCAGCAACGCCGCGUGGAGGAGUGAAGUCCUUGGGACGUAACUCCUUUCGACCGGGACGAUAAUGACGGUACCGGUAGAAGAAGCCCGGCUAACUUCGUGCCAGCAGCCGCGGUAAAC
This 201-nucleotide ribosomal RNA is filed under the name uncultured bacterium. Its description in RNAcentral is "partial 16S ribosomal RNA". It matches the Rfam family "Bacterial small subunit ribosomal RNA", at positions 307 to 525 of the family's 1533-position model. The record is from RNAcentral.